RNAcentral lists this ribosomal RNA (253 nucleotides) under uncultured bacterium. Its description in RNAcentral is "partial 16S ribosomal RNA". It matches the Rfam family "Bacterial small subunit ribosomal RNA", at positions 524 to 776 of the family's 1533-position model. The record is from RNAcentral.
UACGAAGGGGGCUAGCGUUGCUCGGAAUCACUGGGCGUAAAGGGUGCGUAGGCGGGUCUUUAAGUCAGGGGUGAAAUCCUGGAGCUCAACUCCAGAACUGCCUUUGAUACUGAGGAUCUUAAGUACGGGAGAGGUGAGUGGAACUGCGAGUGUAGAGGUGAAAUUCGUAGAUAUUCGCAAGAACACCAGUGGCGAAGGCGGCUCACUGGCCCGUUACUGACGCUGAGGCACGAAAGCGUGGGGAGCAAACAGG